UCCUAGGCAUAAAUAGGCUAUAACCCUACCAGAGUACUACGAACCAUUAGUUUAAAACUCAAAGAACUUGGCGGUGCCUUAGACCCCUCAGGGGAACCUGUUUCAUAAUCGACAAUCCACGUUGAACCUUACCUUUUUUUGAGAAAUUCAGUAUGUAUACCGUCGUCGUCAGGUAACUUUUUAGAAUAUAGAAGUUAGCAAAAGAGAAUUUUAUCUUUAACGUCAGAUCAAGGUGCAGCCAAUAAAAAGGAGAGAAUGGGUUACAAUUAAUAUUUAUAAAUACGAAUAAAGCAAAUGAAAAUAUGCUAUGAAGGAGGACUUGAAAGUAAGAUAAUAUUAUAAAAACUAUCUGAAUCAAAUUGGCUCUGAGGCGUGC
RNAcentral lists this ribosomal RNA (376 nucleotides) under Maoricolpus roseus. Its description in RNAcentral is "partial 12S ribosomal RNA". It matches the Rfam family "Bacterial small subunit ribosomal RNA", at positions 875 to 1384 of the family's 1533-position model. The record is from RNAcentral. Lineage: Eukaryota; Metazoa; Mollusca; Gastropoda; Turritellidae.